This 463-nucleotide ribosomal RNA is filed under the name uncultured bacterium. RNAcentral describes it as "bacterial SSU rRNA". It matches the Rfam family "Bacterial small subunit ribosomal RNA", at positions 331 to 792 of the family's 1533-position model. The record is from RNAcentral.
CCAGACUCCUACGGGAGGCAGCAGUGAGGAAUAUUGGUCAAUGGCCGGGAGGCUGAACCAGCCAAGUCGCGUGAGGGAAGACGGCCCUACGGGUUGUAAACCUCUUUUGUCAGGGAGCAAGGUGCAGGUCGGGACCUGCUGUGAGAGUACCUGAAGAAAAAGCAUCGGCUAACUCCGUGCCAGCAGCCGCGGUAAUACGGAGGAUGCGAGCGUUAUCCGGAUUUAUUGGGUUUAAAGGGUGCGCAGGCGGAGGCACAAGUCAGCGGUAAAAUCGCGGGGCUCAACCCCGCCCAGCCGUCGGAACUGCCGGGCUAGAGUGGGCGAGAAGUGCGCGGAAUGCGUGGUGUAGCGGUGAAAUGCAUAGAUAUCACGCAGAACUCCGAUUGCGAAGGCAGCGCACCGGCGCCCUACUGACGCUCAGGCACGAAAGCGUGGGUAUCGAACAGGAUUAGAUACCCCAGUA